RNAcentral lists this ribosomal RNA (204 nucleotides) under uncultured bacterium. RNAcentral describes it as "partial 16S ribosomal RNA". It matches the Rfam family "Bacterial small subunit ribosomal RNA", at positions 1297 to 1500 of the family's 1533-position model. The record is from RNAcentral.
AUUGUAGUCUGCAACUCGACUACAUGAAGCUGGAAUCGCUAGUAAUCGCAGAUCAGAAUGCUGCGGUGAAUACGUUCCCGGGUCUUGUACACACCGCCCGUCACACCAUGGGAGUCGGGAAUGCCCGAAGUCAGUGACCCAACCGCAAGGAGGGAGCUGCCGAAGGCAGGCUCGAUAACUGGGGUGAAGUCGUAACAAGGUACC